GAUGAAGAACGCAGCGAAAUGCGAUAAGUAGUGUGAAUUGCAGAAUUCAGUGAAUCAUCGAAUCUUUGAACGCACAUUGCGCCCCUUGGUAUCCCGAGGGGCAUGCCUGUUCGAGCGUCAUUUCACCACUCAAGCCUGGCUUGGUGUUGGGCGACGUCCUCUUUGGGGACGCGCCUCGAAACGCUCGGCGGCGUGGCACCGGCUUUAAGCGUAGCAGAAUCUUUCGCUUUGGAAGUCGAGGCCCCGUCUGCCGGAAGACCUGCUCGCAAGGUUGACCUCGGAUCAGGCAGGGAUACCCGCUGAACUUAAGCAUAUCAAUAAGCGGAGGA
RNAcentral lists this unclassified non-coding RNA (329 nucleotides) under soil metagenome. Its description in RNAcentral is "partial contains 5.8S ribosomal RNA, internal transcribed spacer 2, and large subunit ribosomal RNA". The stretch from base 1 to 120 matches the Rfam family "5.8S ribosomal RNA", at positions 35 to 154 of the family's 154-position model. The record is from RNAcentral.